AUUGAACGCUGGCGGCAUGCUUUACACAUGCAAGUCGAACGGCAGCGCGGGCUUCGGCCUGGCGGCGAGUGGCGAACGGGUGAGUAAUACAUCGGAACGUGCCCAGUAGUGGGGGAUAGCCCGGCGAAAGCCGGAUUAAUACCGCAUACUACCUGAGGGUGAAAGCGGGGGACCGAAAGACCUCGCGCUAUUGGAGCGGCCGAUGGCGGAUUAGCUAGUUGGUGGGGUAAAGGCUUACCAAGGCGACGAUCCGUAGCUAGUCUGAGAGGACGACCAGCCGCACUGGGACUGAGACACGGCCCAGACUCCUACGGGAGGCAGCAGUGGGGAAUUUUGGACAAUGGGGGCAACCCUGAUCCAGCCAUGCCGCGUGCGGGAAGAAGGCCUUCGGGUUGUAAACCGCUUUUGUUCGGGAAGAAAUCCUCUGGGCUAAUACCCCGGGGGGAUGACGGUACCGGAAGAAUAAGCACCGGCUAACUACGUG
RNAcentral lists this ribosomal RNA (484 nucleotides) under uncultured bacterium. RNAcentral describes it as "partial 16S ribosomal RNA". It matches the Rfam family "Bacterial small subunit ribosomal RNA", at positions 29 to 507 of the family's 1533-position model. The record is from RNAcentral.